This 1108-nucleotide unclassified non-coding RNA is filed under the name Hevea brasiliensis (rubber tree). Lineage: Eukaryota; Viridiplantae; Streptophyta; Magnoliopsida; Malpighiales; Euphorbiaceae. The record is from RNAcentral.
GCAUUCAUCACUUAGAAAUAGUGGAGUUACAAAGAUUGUUAGCUCAUCUGCCAAAAGGGCAAGUGAUGAGAUGAAGUUGCAAGACUUGAUUUUUAUCAACAUACAUUUGAACAAUUCAUUCAAAAAAAUUACGAAGACUGCUUCUCCAUUCAGCAAAAAUUAGAGGGAUGAAUCGCCUUUUGCUGCCAUGGUGUUGCUUCUCUUCAUCCAGUUAUCCGGCAUACGGAUAUUAUAAGUAGAACCAAAAAGGGAUGUGCUAACCUUUACAAACAAAAACUAAACAGGCACAAAGAAAGUAAAACUACAAACAUAAUCGGGUUCGUUGCUCUUCUCUUUCUUCUCCAGUUAAUGUUGAGGAACUCACGCCUCUUUCAGCUAAACAUCUCUUAUAUGGAACAAAACCCUUCACACGCUUCGUGGAAUUUGCUCUUCGCUCAAACAAAGAGGGUACGCUGGCUCUAACCGACUCUUCUACCACAUUUCUACUACUCUGAGCUUCAAUUUCCAUGUUCUUUUCUCCACUCAACUCUGCAUCUACUGAUUCUGCAUUGGAGCCGGUCGAAGACCCUUCCUUUUGAGUUUCCUUUCCUUCCAAAUAUCUGUCAUUAAAGAGUGGACGUCCCUUCAUUGGAAUUGGGCUAUGCACCUGAGUGCAAGGAACUGCACAUGAUGAUCCCCACGGCAAAUGAGUAGUUGCAACGCCACUUUGGUUAGGCCCUGAACUUCCAUUUGGUGUGGUAAAGUAAUAUGACGGCGUAGGAGGGACGAUAGAAAAGGUACUUUGAGGACAUUCUGAAUCCCAGGGCAAAUAUUUUGCAGGGAAGGAGCUUCGAGUCAACGUCUCGUCUGUCGGUGGCAUAUGAGCAUCAGUAACUAAUACGGUUUUACCAAACAACUUCAGACACUGUGUGGAUGAUGCCUCAUCCGAGCCUUCUUUCACAAAAUCAUUGUCUUCCGGAAACAACUCUAGUUUCACACAAGCCUGAUUGGCCGGAUUUGAAGUAGCAUAAGCUCGGGCAGGUGACGAUCUGCUCUCCUCUACAACCAAAUCGAAUGGUUCAGAAAGUACAAGAUCACCAGAAUUCUCAGCGACAGCUGAGGAAACAGG